RNAcentral lists this long non-coding RNA (314 nucleotides) under Phoenix dactylifera (date palm). RNAcentral's name for it is "long non-coding RNA (PDAC_LNC010819)". The record is from RNAcentral. Lineage: Eukaryota; Viridiplantae; Streptophyta; Magnoliopsida; Arecales; Arecaceae.
AGCUUUCGCUUUAUGGUACAAAGAUCUUUUAAAAAUUUUGCAUAAGAUGGAAUCUGCUUAAUGGCAUCUAAUAGAGGAAUGUUAAUCUUUACUUGUUUAAAGAUAUCCAAAAUUUCUUGAUCUGGUACUCCUUUUUUAGCUGCAAGCAAGCGCUGAGGGAAUGGAGCAACUAUUUUAUGAUGAGGUAUUGGAUCAUCUUGUUCAGUAUUAUUUUCAUCCCUUUUCUCAAUGGAUUUUUCAGGUCUGUCAUCCUUCGUUGGAAUUUCUUUGUUAAUUAUUUUUCCGCUCCGGAGGGUUGUGACAGACUUAACUUG